AACGAACGCCAGCGGCGUGGAUUAGGCAUGCAAGUCGAACGUGAUCCGUAGCAAUACGGUGAAAGUGGCGGAAGGGUGAGUAAUGCAUAGAUAACCUACCUCCGAGCCUGGGAUAACUCUGGGAAACUGGAGCUAAUACUGGAUGGGGUAGCGGGGUCACCUGGCCCUGAAACUAAUGGCAGCCUCUGAACAUGCUGUCACUCGGAGAGGGA
Molecule: ribosomal RNA, 212 nt
Filed under: uncultured bacterium
Lineage: Bacteria
Description: partial 16S ribosomal RNA
Rfam family: Bacterial small subunit ribosomal RNA
Source: RNAcentral